This 73-nucleotide transfer RNA is filed under the name Stegodyphus mimosarum. RNAcentral's name for it is "tRNA-Thr for anticodon CGU". Lineage: Eukaryota; Metazoa; Arthropoda; Arachnida; Araneae; Eresidae. The record is from RNAcentral.
GCCUUCGUGGUGUAGUGGUCAGCACGCUCGACGCGUAUUCGAGAGGUCCAUGGAUCGAGUCCUCGCGAGGGCA